UUCCAUAACUGUGUGAGAAAGGAGAUGAUUCAUUUUCAGAAAUACCAAAUAAAUGCUGUGUUGUCUAGUUAACAGUAGGUUUAUAACCUAUUGGAAAUAUGUACAACCCCCCCCCCCCCAACAAUGGAGUCCCAAACCCUUAGACACUUCACUUCCUGGUUCUUCUUCCCCUCUCUA
Long non-coding RNA from Herpailurus yagouaroundi (jaguarundi), 177 nucleotides. RefSeq lists it as uncharacterized. The transcript has 3 exons. The record is from RefSeq and is a predicted model, not a curated record. Lineage: Eukaryota; Metazoa; Chordata; Mammalia; Carnivora; Felidae.